AGCUCUGUGGUGUACCGCACGUUAGAUUGCAAAUCUAAAGAAGUAGGCUUAUAGCCUGCCGGGGCUU
RNAcentral lists this transfer RNA (67 nucleotides) under Salvelinus alpinus alpinus. RNAcentral describes it as "tRNA-Cys". It matches the Rfam family "tRNA". Rfam says of the family: Transfer RNA (tRNA) molecules are approximately 80 nucleotides in length. Lineage: Eukaryota; Metazoa; Chordata; Actinopteri; Salmoniformes; Salmonidae. The record is from RNAcentral.